This 582-nucleotide ribosomal RNA is filed under the name fungal yeast sp. DY76. RNAcentral describes it as "eukaryotic LSU rRNA". It matches the Rfam family "Eukaryotic large subunit ribosomal RNA", at positions 38 to 663 of the family's 3401-position model. The record is from RNAcentral. Lineage: Eukaryota; Fungi.
CAAUUUCAAUAAGCGGAGGAAAAGAAACCAACAGGGAUUGCCUUAGUAACGGCGAGUGAAGCGGCAAAAGCUCAAAUUUGAAAUCGGCCACCAGGUCGAGUUGUAAUUUGUAGAUUGUAUCUUGAGAGCGGAUUAAAGUCUGUUGGAACACAGCGCCUUAGAGGGUGACAGCCCCGUAAAAUCUAUUCUCAUUGUAAGAUACUUUCGAAGAGUCGAGUUGUUUGGGAAUGCAGCUCUAAGUGGGAGGUAAAUUCCUUUCUAAAGCUAAAUAUUGACGAGAGACCGAUAGCGAACAAGUACUGUGAAGGAAAGAUGAAAAGCACUUUGAAAAGAGAGUGAAAAAGUACGUGAAAUUGUUAAAAGGGAAGGGUAUUGAAUCAGACUUGGUGCUGUUGUUCAACCAUGUUUCGGCACAGUGUACUCAGCAGUACUAGGCCAAGGUGGGGUGUUUGGGAGUGAAAAAGAAGUUGGAACGUAACUCUUCGGAGUGUUAUAGCCUACUUUCAUAGCUCCUCAGGCGCCUCAGGACUGCGCUUCGGCAAGGACCUUGGCAUAAUGAUUCUAUACCGCCCGUCUUGAACG